GUCAAGAUGGCCGAGUUGGUCUAAGGCGCCAGUUUCAGGUACUUGUCCCAAAGGGCAUGGGUUCGAAUCCCCUUCUCGACA
Molecule: non-coding RNA, 81 nt
Organism: Picea glauca (white spruce)
Lineage: Eukaryota; Viridiplantae; Streptophyta; Pinopsida; Pinales; Pinaceae
Source: Rfam